RNAcentral lists this long non-coding RNA (224 nucleotides) under Malus domestica (apple). RNAcentral describes it as "long non-coding RNA (MDOM_LNC000043)". The record is from RNAcentral. Lineage: Eukaryota; Viridiplantae; Streptophyta; Magnoliopsida; Rosales; Rosaceae.
UAUAAAUCCUUCUCGACUACCUUGGAGCUUGUGGUAUAGGAACUAGGUUGUUUAUAUUUGUUGAUUACUUUCUUGUCUCUCAAAGAACCCAUUCUUUGAGUUCUAUCUCUCGUUCAUUGCUCUAUCUUAGACAAAUCAUAUUGUAGGAUUAUAAUGAACUACCCAACAAAACAACAUUUGUUAGUUGGUUUAUAGAAGCGAUAUCCAAAAGUUAAUUUAAGGAU